UGUGACUUGUAUCGAUUGGAGGAAACACUUCAGCAUCGAAGGAAUAACUACUGAAAUAUUGGAGUGUCAAAAUGACAAAACGAAAACCUGCAAAACGAUGGAGAAGAACCGGUAAAGAAGUCGACUCAAAUAAACGAUCAAGAAGGACUGUACAAUUGCCACCAAUGUGAAUGUGGAGACUGAUGAGUAAUGUCUAAG
Long non-coding RNA from Nerophis lumbriciformis (worm pipefish), 198 nucleotides. RefSeq lists it as uncharacterized. The record is from RefSeq and is a predicted model, not a curated record. NCBI's taxonomy places the organism in Eukaryota, Metazoa, Chordata, Actinopteri, Syngnathiformes, Syngnathidae.